AUAAUACAUCUCAACUCUCAAUCUCGGUGCCUAUCUUCAUCCAACCUAUGCCCAAAUCUCAAAUGCUUCACAUGAUCACGUUAUCUCCGCUUCUCCGCCGCUCCCCUGCGCCUCCUUCAUUACCACUAUCAACCUUUACCGUCGUAACCACCAUCGCUUCAGCUUUGCUUCAUUUAAGACCGGGUCGGCUUCAACAACGAUGAUGCCCUAGCCUAGGUUUUCGGCAAUGACCACUAACAACUGCACCAUCAUCGCACGCCGCCUUUCAGAAAUCCUAAAGCAUCGUUUCCACCAAUACAAACCUCCAAACCUCUAGGGUUUUGAAGAUGUUUGGGUAUUAAAGAUUUUCUAUUGGAAAAAAAGAAAGCAGGGGUGAGAUCGACAAAGAGGUUCUCCUAAAAUACAUUUCCCUCUGGCUUGAAAUAGAGUUUUAGCUUAUGCAGGUUUGCCGUUUGCCCCUAUUCUUUCCUUUUCUACUAUGGUUUAUAUGUACAUGUUUAUUUAAAUAAUUACAUGUUUUAUUGAAUAAAGGAAAUAAUAUUAAUAUUUUGUUUUGGUAUGAUGUAGUGAAUAUACACAUAGCUGAUUUAAGGAAGUUGAAGGAAUGAAGGUAAUGAAUAUAAUAUAUUUCAUUCAUUGAGGGUAUGAAUGGUUAAUGAUUUGUUGUUGUUGUACAUUGAGCUUGAGGGUUUGAAUUUCAUACAUAUUAUAUGUUUUUUAUGAUUCCUUUUUAUUUUAUUUUUCUUUUUUGCAGAGUGUUUUUUUUAGCAACGGUAUAGAGAAAUCAUCCCAUAGUGGUCUAAAAAAUAGAGGUGGCAAGUUUAGGUUUUGAAUUUGUUUAUUUGUGUGUAUUUUUAUGUAAAUAUGUGUAUUUGUGUGUAUACUGGUUGUUGUUGGCAGGAUGCAAAGCAAGGUACAUGGGUCAUGAAUGCCUUUCAGGGAAGCAUUUAAUUGAUUGAUGUAGGAAUGUUUUACAUUUCAGAUCUUUAUGGUUUUUCUUGCUUAAAUCUGUUAUCAUCAAAAUUUGAUUAAUUGAUUAAUUGAUUUUUUUAUGGUUCGAUUUGAAUCUCUAUUGAUUCUGUAAUUCAUAUUCGUUUGAGUAUGAUUAUGUAAACAACUCAUAUGUUUUUCCAAAUAUGAAUUCUAGGUUAUGGACUGGGCUACAAA
Molecule: non-coding RNA, 1167 nt
Organism: Lactuca sativa (garden lettuce)
Lineage: Eukaryota; Viridiplantae; Streptophyta; Magnoliopsida; Asterales; Asteraceae
Source: RefSeq, a predicted model, not a curated record